AGUGAACGCUGGCGGCAGGCCUAACACAUGCAAGUCGAGCGGCAGCGGGUCCCCGCGAGGGGAUGCCGGCGAGCGGCGGACGGGUGAGGAACACAUCGGAAUCUGCCUGGUUGUGGGGGAUAACGUAGGGAAACUUACGCUAAUACCGCAUGCGACCCUGAGUCGACGGACUUGGGGUGAAAGUGAGGGACCUUCGGGCCUCACGCGACCAGAUGAGCCGAUGUCGGAUUAGCUAGUUGGCGGGGUAACGGCCCGCCAAGGCGACGAUCCGUAGCUGGUCUGAGAGGAUGAUCAGCCACACUGGGACUGAGACACGGCCCAGACUCC
RNAcentral lists this ribosomal RNA (327 nucleotides) under uncultured bacterium. RNAcentral describes it as "partial 16S ribosomal RNA". It matches the Rfam family "Bacterial small subunit ribosomal RNA", at positions 30 to 339 of the family's 1533-position model. The record is from RNAcentral.